This 254-nucleotide ribosomal RNA is filed under the name uncultured bacterium. RNAcentral's name for it is "partial 16S ribosomal RNA". It matches the Rfam family "Bacterial small subunit ribosomal RNA", at positions 524 to 776 of the family's 1533-position model. The record is from RNAcentral.
UACGAAGGGGUGCAAGCGUUACUCGGAAUUACUGGGCGUAAAGCGUGCGUAGGCGGUUUGUUAAGUCUGUCGUGAAAGCCCUGGGCUCAACCUGGGAAUUGCGAUGGAUACUGGCAAGCUAGAGUACGGUAGAGGAUGGUGGAAUUCUCGGUGUAGCGGUGAAAUGCGUAGAGAUCGGGAGGAACACCUGUGGCGAAAGCGGCUCACUGGACCACAACUGACGCUGAGGCGCGAAAGCUAGGGGAGCAAACAGG